This is a long non-coding RNA of Oncorhynchus gorbuscha (pink salmon), 1903 nucleotides long. RefSeq lists it as uncharacterized. Lineage: Eukaryota; Metazoa; Chordata; Actinopteri; Salmoniformes; Salmonidae. The record is from RefSeq and is a predicted model, not a curated record. The transcript is spliced from 3 exons.
UUCAGAACAACUACUAGUUGAAUAAGACAUGGGAGAGAUCACGAAUUCUGGUAAAGAGAUAGCAAAUAGCCAAACCGAAAAUUGCAGACAUUAUUAGUGCCUCCCCGGCGAUCAAACCAACAUAAAAAAAAUAAAAUGAAACGCAGUUUAAAACGUGAACAGAAAUCUCAAAUAGCAAGCAAGUCGUAGCAAUGAAGAAUUGAGUGCGUGCGCGUUCAAGCAAGUCGCAGCAAUGAAGAAGUAAGUGCGUGCGCGUUCACGCGAAGGAGGGGGAGUGAAUUCUGGCAGUGGGGAGCUUUUCGGCACAGCACCGGUAUUGGCAACGUCAAACCGAAGAGGAAAAUCAGGAGCAACUUGACGUGAACACCAGGCACACUGCUGCCCUUUGUGGUCUCCCCAUCUACCUUUGUGAGGAAACCACUGGAAUGUGGAGGAAACUGAAGAGCCAGACAUUAGACACACCUGUCGCUCUCCUCAUAGUCGUCAGCGAGACCUAAGCUGAUCAUGUCCAGUUCAACUCAGCAAGGAUUGCUGUUGUGCUAGCUAGAAGGUGACAUUGUAAUGAAUGAUGUCCCCAGGUUGGCUGAUGCAAUUAUGUUGUUAUUUGGUUUGAUUUACGAGUUAUCCCAAGCAUCUGAUCCACACUUUUGACUUAAUAAAAAAAGUCCUGAUGGGCUUGGAUAAUGGGAAAAUGCUUAAGCCCAAGCUUUUGUCUCUGAAAAAAAGACCUAUUGAAGCAAGAUGAAUGAUUUAUGGGUAUUUGCAUUUACAGGUAUUUACCAUCAUUGAGGUUGUCUCCAACUCAUGCCCUUACAUGGCUGCAAGGCCUUUCUCGUAGAUAAAUCUUUAAUGUGUGGCUCCACAUUGUCCCAUCAUUGCCUUGUUAAUCGCAGCAUAGCCUCACAUAGACAGUUUUUCCAAUCGAAAACCCUACAUUCUUUAGAAGUUGUAAAUGUUUUCCUUUCAUUGUCAUUGAUGUUUGACAUGAACCAGGUCCAGUGGGUGUUAUUUUUGACCACACAAAUGUUUUAGCUGUUCUGCCCUUCAGUAGAACUCAAUAGAAAGAGAGAUGGCUCUUUCUGUACUGCCGCUGUCAGUCAGCAUGUAAACAAUGUGGAGAGCUUGAUGAGAUAAGCGAGUUGAGUUGAGAUUUGAUAUCCACUCCAAAUAAAGUUGUAACAUACACUAUAUUCUGAAUGUAAUGUAGGUAAGCGAGAGAGGUCAUGUGCACUAAAAUAAAGCUGGCACAUAUGUUCUAAAAUGUAUUACAACGGUUGUAACAGUUAAUGGCUUUUGAUCAUGGCUGCAGCUUUAAUGUGUGGCUACUAUUUGGAUAGUCCAUCUGUAGAUGGUUAAUUCAGCAUCUAUAGACCAACAUAUCAGCAGAGAAGCAGUUGACAUUUUCUUAGUUUCUUGAUAGUUUGAGCAUCUACAUGGGACUAUCCAAAUACUGUUACAGAAAAUUCUAAAUUCUUUAACCAGGUUUCCAUCCAACCAUUUCAUGCUAGAGCGCACAUAAAGACUACAUGAUGAGAUUGGACAAAAGAGCGAGAUUGUUUUAUUUGUCUGCAGCCAAGCAUCAAUGAUCAUGUGGGUUCGAUUCCCGGGACCACCCAUACGUAGAAUGUAUGCACACAUGACUGUAAGUCGCUUUGGAUAAAAGCGUCUGCUAAAUGGCAUAUAUUAUCAUUUCUCCAGAAUGCAACCCUUGAUAUUCAUUGGAAAGAAGCAUCAAGUGCAUGUCACGAUCGUUUGAUGAAUAAAUGGACCAAGGCGCAGUGUGCGUAGAGUUCCAAAUGUUUAAUAAAUGAAAUUCACCAAAACAAUACAGAACAAACUAAAUGUCCAGCUAAUGGCGUGCUUACAGGCAACUAACCAAAAAACAAGAUCCCACAAAGCACAA